GCCAUUAGUUGCUACGAAAGGGCACUCUAAUGGGACUGCCGGUGACAAACCGGAGGAAGUGGGGAUGACGUCAAGUCCUCAUGGCCCUUAUAGGUGGGGCUACACACGUCAUACAAUGGCCGGUACAGAGGGUAGCCAACCCGCGAGGGGGAGCCAAUCCCACAAAGCCGGUCGUAGUCCGGAUCGCAGUCUGCAACUCGACUGCGUGAAGUCGGAAUCGCUAGUAAUCGCGGAUCAGCUACGCCGCGGUGAAUACGUUCUCGGGCCUU
This 269-nucleotide ribosomal RNA is filed under the name uncultured Allobrachymonas sp. RNAcentral describes it as "uncultured Brachymonas sp. partial 16S ribosomal RNA". It matches the Rfam family "Bacterial small subunit ribosomal RNA", at positions 1107 to 1382 of the family's 1533-position model. Lineage: Bacteria; Pseudomonadati; Pseudomonadota; Betaproteobacteria; Burkholderiales; Comamonadaceae. The record is from RNAcentral.